UGCUAAUUUUUUUACUAAUCUCUUUAUGCAGACUCUUGACAUGCUGUGCAAAUGACUCUACAGAUUCAGAAAUCUUAGCAUGCAUGGGCAAUGGGAUGAGGUCUAUUGAUUUUCUAGGUUAAUAUCCAUGAACUACUUCAAAAGGACUCAUAUCAAUGGAUCUAUUAACAGAACUAUUAUAUGCAAAUUCAGCUCGGGGC
This 200-nucleotide long non-coding RNA is filed under the name Elaeis guineensis (African oil palm). RNAcentral's name for it is "long non-coding RNA (EGUI_LNC064020)". The record is from RNAcentral. Lineage: Eukaryota; Viridiplantae; Streptophyta; Magnoliopsida; Arecales; Arecaceae.